RNAcentral lists this unclassified non-coding RNA (628 nucleotides) under Hevea brasiliensis (rubber tree). The record is from RNAcentral. Lineage: Eukaryota; Viridiplantae; Streptophyta; Magnoliopsida; Malpighiales; Euphorbiaceae.
GAUUAGUCAUUUUGAUGUGUAAAGUAACUUAAACACUUAUAUAAACCAUAUUAAAAUGAAUUAAUUCGUAAUUUGCCUGGUACUCUCUCCAAAUUCAACAUUUUAAUAGAGCCUAGACUGGGUUGUGGGUUUUAGCUUUCCGUAAGAUUGUAUUAUUGAGCCCGUAUUGAGUUAAAAUUCUAACUAAUUGUCAAGUGAUAACUACGUAGUUUCACUUGAGGAGUGAAUAUUUGAAUCCCACAUUAAAAGAAUAUGAAGUAAAAGGACAAUAUAUAAGUGGUUGGGUUUCAACAUUAAAUUGGUUAGUCAUUUUGAUGCGUAAAGUAACCCAAUAACUUAUAUAAGCCCAUAUUAAAAUGAAUUAAUACAUAAUUUGUCCAGUACUCUCCCCAAAUUUAACAUGUUAGUAGAGUCUGAUUUAGGUUAUGGGUUUCCGUAGCCUAUAAGGCUGUAUAAUUGAGCUUAUAUUAGGUUAUUAUUAACUAAUUUGUCAAAUGACAAUCAUUUGAUUGCACUGGAAGGGGGAGUGUUGAGAAUACUUGUCACACAUUGAGAAAAUACAAAGAUGAAAAGGAUAAAUAUAAGUAGGUAAGUUACAAUAUUAACUUGAUUAGUCAUUUUGAUGUGU